UACGUAGGGGGCUAGCGUUGUCCGGAUUUAUUGGGCGUAAAGAGCGUGUAGGCGGCCAGGUAGGUCUGCUGUGAAAACUCGAGGCUCAACCUCGAGACGUCGGCGGAAACCAUCUGGCUAGAGUCCGGAAGAGGAGAGUGGAAUUCCUGGUGUAGCGGUGGAAUGCGCAGAUAUCAGGAAGAACACCCGUGGCGAAGGCGGCUCUCUGGGACGGUACUGACGCUGAGACGCGAAAGCGUGGGGAGCGAACCGG
Molecule: ribosomal RNA, 253 nt
Filed under: uncultured bacterium
Lineage: Bacteria
Description: partial 16S ribosomal RNA
Rfam family: Bacterial small subunit ribosomal RNA
Source: RNAcentral